Molecule: ribosomal RNA, 492 nt
Filed under: uncultured bacterium
Lineage: Bacteria
Description: partial 16S ribosomal RNA
Rfam family: Bacterial small subunit ribosomal RNA
Source: RNAcentral
AGUGAACGCUGGCGGUAGGCCUAACACAUGCAAGUCGAACGGCAGCACAGUAAGAGCUUGCUCUUACGGGUGGCGAGUGGCGGACGGGUGAGGAAUACAUCGGAAUCUACUUUUUCGUGGGGGAUAACGUAGGGAAACUUACGCUAAUACCGCAUACGACCUACGGGUGAAAGCAGGGGAUCUUCGGACCUUGCGCGAUUGAAUGAGCCGAUGUCGGAUUAGCUAGUUGGCGGGGUAAAGGCCCACCAAGGCGACGAUCCGUAGCUGGUCUGAGAGGAUGAUCAGCCACACUGGAACUGAGACACGGUCCAGACUCCUACGGGAGGCAGCAGUGGGGAUUAUUGGACAAUGGGCGCAAGCCUGAUCCAGCCACACCGCGUGGGUGAAGAAGGCCUUCGGGUUGUAAAGCCCUUUUGUUGGGAAAGAAAAGCAGCAGGUUAAUACCCCGCUGUUCUGACGGUACCCAAAGAAUAAGCACCGGCUAACUUCGUG